Molecule: small nucleolar RNA, 93 nt
Organism: Cynoglossus semilaevis (tongue sole)
Lineage: Eukaryota; Metazoa; Chordata; Actinopteri; Pleuronectiformes; Cynoglossidae
Gene: SNORD14
Rfam family: Small nucleolar RNA SNORD14
About the family: U14 small nucleolar RNA (U14 snoRNA) is required for early cleavages of eukaryotic precursor rRNAs. In yeasts, this molecule possess a stem-loop region (known as the Y-domain) which is essential for function. A similar structure, but with a different consensus sequence, is found in plants, but is absent in vertebrates.
Source: Ensembl
UCGCAGUGAUGACGUAAUUUCCUGCCAUUCGUAGUUUACACCAGAGGUCGACAGACCAAAGAUGGCCCAAAUCUUCCUUGGAUGUCUGAGCGA